This 432-nucleotide long non-coding RNA is filed under the name Mus musculus (house mouse). RNAcentral describes it as "long non-coding RNA chrX:73313202-73313634". Lineage: Eukaryota; Metazoa; Chordata; Mammalia; Rodentia; Muridae. The record is from RNAcentral.
AUUGCUAACCUCAAGCACACCUGCAUUGCCAUCAAGUCAGAAGGCAUACAACACAGGCUAGUGGACAAGAUCAUCAAAGGUUUCAACCAGAAGGGAUUCCUCAUAAUGACCAUGAAGCGCCUUUGGGCUUCUGACCAGCACCUGAAACAGCAGCACUACAAUGACCUGAAAAACAAUCCUUUCUUCCCCAGGCUAAGAAUUUAGGGUUUGUGGAGGCCAUGGGAGGAGCUCAGUGUGAUAAAGCCUGGCCAACUGAUGUUGAGUAAGACCAAUCCUGCCGAUUCUAAAACGGGCACCAUUAAAGGGGAUUUCUACAUUCAAUUUGUCAACAAUUCAGAAAAAAAAAUGCUGAGAAAAAAAAUCACUGUAUGGUUUAAGCCUGAAGAACCAAUUGACUACAAGUCUUGUGCCCAUGACUGGGACUAUGAGUAG